This is a non-coding RNA of Myotis brandtii (Brandt's bat), 75 nucleotides long. Lineage: Eukaryota; Metazoa; Chordata; Mammalia; Chiroptera; Vespertilionidae. The record is from Rfam.
GGUGGUUCUCGGGUAAUGCACCCCUGAAUCAGGCUCCCUCCUCUCUGGUUCUGGGUGUGUCACCUGAGAACCACA